GAUGAAGAACGUAGCGAAAUGCGAUAAGUAAUGUGAAUUGCAGAAUUCAGUGAAUCAUCGAAUCUUUGAACGCACAUUGCGCCCGCCAGUAUUCUGGCGGGCAUGCCUGUUCGAGCGUCAUUUCAACCAUCAAGCCCCAGGCUUGUGUUGGGGACCUGCGGCUGCCGCAGGCCCUGAAAACCAGUGGCGGGCUCGCUGUCACACCGGGCGUAGUAGAUUUUGUCUCGCUCAGGGCGUGCUGCGGGUUCCGGCCGUUAAAAAGCCUUUUUUACCCAAGGUUGACCUCGGAUCAGGUAGGAAGACCCGCUGAACUUAAGCAUAUCAAUAAGCGGAGGA
RNAcentral lists this unclassified non-coding RNA (336 nucleotides) under soil metagenome. RNAcentral's name for it is "partial contains 5.8S ribosomal RNA, internal transcribed spacer 2, and large subunit ribosomal RNA". The stretch from base 1 to 120 matches the Rfam family "5.8S ribosomal RNA", at positions 35 to 154 of the family's 154-position model. The record is from RNAcentral.